UACAGAGGGGGCAAGCGUUAUUCGGAAUUAUUGGGCGUAAAGAGCUCGUAGGCGGCUUGUCACGUCGGCCGUGAAAUCUCCACGCUUAACGUGGAGCGUGCGGUCGAUACGGGCAGACUUGAGUUCGGUAGGGGAGACUGGAAUUCCUGGUGUAGCGGUGAAAUGCGUAGAUAUCGGGAGGAACACCUGUGGCGAAAGCGGCGCACUGGACCACAACUGACGCUGAGGCGCGAAAGCUAGGGGAGCAAACAGG
RNAcentral lists this ribosomal RNA (253 nucleotides) under uncultured prokaryote. RNAcentral's name for it is "partial 16S ribosomal RNA". It matches the Rfam family "Bacterial small subunit ribosomal RNA", at positions 524 to 776 of the family's 1533-position model. The record is from RNAcentral.